Long non-coding RNA from Pygocentrus nattereri (red-bellied piranha), 3779 nucleotides. NCBI's taxonomy places the organism in Eukaryota, Metazoa, Chordata, Actinopteri, Characiformes, Serrasalmidae. The record is from Ensembl.
GUCCAGCAGUCUUUGGGCCCGUGUUUAAGACCAUUCAUUGUUAAAACUGUGUUGAACAAUCAACAGAGCUUUAUUUUAUUAUUACCUAAAAAUUGAAUUCUGCUGCGGAGCGGAAAAGAGCCGCAUGCGGUUCUGCAGCUGCUUGUUGUUGACCCCUGGUCUAGGUAUUGAUGAUACCUUGUGAAACUGUAGUAUGGUAGCACUGUGGAAGUAGUGCCAGCAGAAAUAGGGGAAGUAGGAUUUAACCCAUUUCAUUGUACAACUAAUUGACACAAUUGAACCACGUAAAUCCAAAACACUAUUUAUUCUUAGUACACAGUGCUGCUAUAAAACAUGACGUGGCUAAAGUUCAGACAAAGGUAGCUGUAGCUGUGUGGAAUUAGGGCAUGAAGUUACAGGAGAAGCUCAGCUUGGAGUUUUGAGAUGAUGUGUCUCACACAUUAUCCUGCUCAUAUUUAACUGAAUGUUAAUACUUGUGUCACUGUUUUAUGUUAUAGUGAAAAAAAACAGGACUAGUGAAUUCACAAUACAGAAUACAGUGGAAAUCAGCAGUCCUGCCAUAACAGUGGACCAGACAGUGGACAAUGGACCAGACAACAGACCGCAACAAUCUCACUUCAGGUUCUUGGCGGUGAUUAUCAUGACAUGUGUGGGAAUGCUAUUCUUUGUGUGCGUGUUCAGUUUGGUUCAUGUACUCAAACGGAUCAACAGCUGCAACCUGUCAGUUUCUGCCUCCUACAAUCUCAGAGACAAUCAGAAAUCAGACCCAGAACAUACAGAGGUGAGUCUGAUGUGAAAUUAUAAGCUAAACGAUUAAAAUAAUAAUGAACAUAACAGAGCAGAUUGGACAUGGCAAUCAUGCCAAACAGUGAGAGGUCAUAUACACCAUAAGAAAAUUUGUUAACCAUUUGUUAAAAUUCAAUUUAUAUCAUUAAAAUGCCCUUGUAAAGCCUUUAUUUAAGACCUAGCAAGCCAGUAGUUGGUGGUUCCUCAUUAUUAUACCAGUAAGAAGUGGUGAAUUAAGCUUUUUCAGAGGCAUUUUACUGAUAUACAUCAUAAUAUUUUUCACAACAGGUGUCUGAUUGUAAUCUGUCCUGACAAUAGCAUAGGAUAUUACCAAUGACAUGCUUAUGGCAGUACCUCUCUUAACAAUAGGGUGGGACCCUCAAGGGUCCAUCUCAGUAACUUUGGUCAGGGAACAUCACUGAACCAUGAUCCACUGAAAUGAUCUGUUCUAAGCUGUACUGACUCCACACACCCCGCCUCGCCUCCAGGCUUUUAUUCUACUGCUCUGUUUUAAAACAUUCGGUUAUGAAAAGGAACAAAUACCAACUUUUUACCUGGAGGAACUGAUUUAAGCUCCACGAUCAGACCUGAAAACCACUGUUGUAUUUUUGAGGGAACAUUUACACUGUUUGUACCUUAAUUAAUGGUGUACAAUUUAGAUUACACUCUCCCCAUAUACUAUUAUCAUUUAGCCUAAAAAAUAUAUUUAUAUUAUAUUAUAUUAAAUAUAAAUAUAUAUUUAACCAGUUGGUCACCGGUUUGUUUGUUUGUUUGUUUUUUUGGAUGGUCCCCUAUAGAUGCUCUACAGAUACUUAAAAUUUUUUAAACUUUCAGGUGGCACUCAGUUGAUUAACAACAACAUUUAGGCAAGGCUUAGGUUCAGAGGUAGGUUUAGAUUUUGCCUUAAGGUUAGGUUUAAAGUUGGGGAGAGGUUUUGUAGAAUCUUUCACCUGUUCAGUUGCAUUUAGUAGAUAUUUAUUUGGAUGUUACUCAUUCAAAUGUGGAUGUGGACCAUUCAAAUACCUUAAAGUUACCUUAGCUGACCUUUGGCCUUUUUCAUUUUCAAGUGCUGAUUGAAAGUGUGAAAUUCUCACUUCCUUUUCAGGAUGACUAUGUGAGAAUGAAACCUGGUGUGGGUCGGGUUCACUCACCUGCAGCCGAGGAUAAAAAUUCACCUUCAUCAGAACCUUACUCGAGCCUACCCACGCCUCAAACAGGUGCAACGGUGGCCAACAUGAGCCGCCCUGAGAUAGACCCAUACUAUUUAGAUCCAUUCCCUGUAAUAAAUACGGAUCUAGUUUCAGAAUACAUAGAUCCAAAUGCACACAGACUCGGCAGUGUGUAUGAAAACCUCAAGGCCGAUUCUAUCCAAGAGCCAGUCUAUCAGACCGUAGACCUCACAUAAGGCUAAUGUAAAAGCAGUUGCUGGUAAUGUUGUUUUGGUGGUAUUUUAUUUUAUGGUACAGUAAGGACCUGAUAUGUAAUAAGUAAAGCUGUAGCAGGGCCAUUGGCUCAGUAUGUAAAGGUCCAGGGCUCAGUCCAGUUCAUUGUAGGGUUGUUUUGGGGUCUCCUGAUUCAGGUAAGAAUGUGAGGAUCUACACAUCAACAAACUUGCAGGAAUUCAGCAUUCGGCAUUCGUUAUUGUUGUGUUAAAAAGAAAGCCGUAAAAAAGAGGGGAAAAAGGUGAAAGUGUAAAAAGUGUCCUAAUGCUAUUCUUAAAGUCCUUUGACAAUAUAAAGACCUCUUUCCCCACAUCCACCAUCACUUCCCCAUGUCUCCUCUCAAAAGUCCUGCUAACAGAGAAACAAUGUAUCUUUACUUUUGUUACUUUACUGGGAAGUUAUAACGCUCCAUAAACAAUCAGUACAACUGCUCGUAAAACCAAACUAGAAUAUUUAUAGCCAUGUUUAUGAUGCCUUAUGAAGGCAUUAUAGUGUGUUCAUGAGUUUUCUAGACAUGGUGUUAUGUGGCAGCAGGGAGGCGGACCCAAGUGCAGAGAGGAAAACCCGGGCGAAAGGGUCUUAAAUGAAUUUAUUGAGGUGACGGAAUGUAAAUUUGGCAUUGUAAAUGUAAAUUUGCACAUUGGGGUUGAGGUGGCUAGAGCCAAGGUCAAGAGGACUUAUCACUGCGCCACCGGGAAGCGCAGACAAAACACCUCAAUGAAUAAUAAAAUAAUAAAAAAUAAAAAAAAGUGGGGAAAAGCAAACAAAGGGGACGCUGAAAGCAGCAUGCUCUAACAAAGGCAGAGUAUAAAUAAAACACUUCCUCUGUGAUUAUGAGAGGAAGAUCAAUUUGAUCUUUCACCGGUUUGUCUAAAUACCUACCUGGGCUAAAUACUGUAUCGGUCACCCUGUUUGCCACAGUCUUAAGUAGAAGAGUCCAUGGGUGUGCCAGGUUGGGCUUAAUCAGCCCAAAGGCUUCUCGGAAUUGGAGUUCCCUGAAAUUAUGGCAGCUCACCACCAUCGCCCUCUGUUGAUAGCCAGUGGUACUGGCUGGGCCCUUAUACAUGGUAUUCAUUGAAAGUGUUGCCAUCACUGUGUCAAACAAAAACAGCACACUAAAUAUUGUGAGGGUUUUGAUGAGCACUGUUUAUCCCAUCCAAACCAGACAAUGGCCAACAAAAUAUUUGAUUUCAGGUUGAUUUAUUUAUUUACUUAUUUCAUUUUUUUGGAUGUACAACAUCAGGAAAAAAUGCUUAUUUCCAGACAUUUCAUUCACUCAUCAUGUUCUCUCUUGCUCUCUGUCUCUCUCUCUCUCUCUCUCUCUCUCUCUUUUUUUUUUCUCUCUUUCUCUGACAUUAUAGUCUGCGUUUGGAAUAUCUCUUGUUCAUGGAAUGGGUGAAUGUGAAUUUCUGUACUGGAAUAAAGUUAUUCACUCCAUAUUAGUCUGUACUUCUCUGUCGUCAUACAUGUAUAUGUCUACUGAAAUGUUUAAUCAUGAAAAGCAGAAAUAUACCUAGAAUUUCUCACAUUAAUUCCUUGUACUUACAUAUU